Long non-coding RNA from Cygnus atratus (black swan), 1893 nucleotides. RefSeq lists it as uncharacterized. The transcript has 5 exons. NCBI's taxonomy places the organism in Eukaryota, Metazoa, Chordata, Aves, Anseriformes, Anatidae. The record is from RefSeq and is a predicted model, not a curated record.
UUCUGUUUUUGUUUUGUUUUGUUUUUAAAGCCCUUGUACCUGAAAGUUUUGUUGUUUAAUUGAUUUUUUUUUCUUGGAAGAAUAUAGAUAAGGAACUCACAAGCAAAUAAACACUGAGGCUACAGUCCAGGUAUUUAUGGAAUGCCAAUCCUAUCUGGGGCAAAGAUCUUCUAAGUGGUUAUCCUCCUGAAAAAAUACCCAGUCAGAGCUACUAGAAGAAGAAGGCAAAGGUCUUUGCACUGUCAAAGAGUUUCUACAGAGUCUGUCAACUCCGUGGCCAUCCUCAGGAUUCGUCUCACUGUGAAGACCGCUCUGUGCCUCUCUGGGCAUAUCCGAAAAGCGAGGUCUCAACACACCCUGUUCCUAGCCUACCAUUUGCAUGCCCAAUAUCAGUGUUCCACUCUGAAAGAAUGAGAAACAUUUAAUUAACUAAUGAAGUGGGUAAUGGGUACCUCAGCAGUAGAGACUUUCUGCACUCCAGUGAUUAGUUUUGGGGUUUCAUCCAAAACCCAAUAAGAGAACUCUUCAGUGCCGUUAGAGAAAGACAAGCAUUUCCAAGAAAAAGGAAAAAUUGAAUAUCUGCAUUUUCAGCAGUGACUAGUAUUGGUUAUUCCUCAGUUUUGAAGUUCACAAGCAGAGAAUUCAAAGGAAACAUUGGAAGGAAGUCCAAAUGAAAAGGGGCCCCAAUUUCAGGUUGAUGGUAUUUUCUGCUAUUUAAACUCCUCUUUUGAUGUAUCUCCAGUCAGGCAUCUGAAUCACUAGUCAUUUUAGAACUCUCCGGCUCAUUCUUUUCUUUAUUCCUCAUCUUUUUCUCUUUUCCUCUUCUCUUUUGUAUUAAGGUCAAAUCCUGCUUCUCCUGAUGCCAAUAAUAAAACUCCCAUUGAUUUCAACAUGAGCAGGAAAUAUGCAGUUUGCUAUUUACCACAACCACCACAAUGAAUCUCUGGGAAGAAUUCAUUUACAUUCAUUCCAAGGAUACCAUGAAAAAUGGGCUCUUGCUAUUUUAUCACAUCCAAACUGUUGCUCUAACUCUAACGUCCUAGCUGUUGCUAACAAGUCAGUGAUGAUUUGUAAACCAACAAUUUAUGGUAACCACAUUCCAUCCCCAUUAUGAUGUGUGGUUUGGAAAUGGAAAAGUAAUCAAGACCUCCUGUUAAGAGACUUUAUUUCAGUUGAAUGUUUCUGUAAAUAAAAGCAUUUUGAAAGGAUCAUUGCUAUAUAUUUCUAACUCCAAAUUGUUCAUUUGAUCUAGGCCCCAUCUACACUCCAAAUUCCUGCCAGGCUCUGUCUGUCAGGAGUGUGAGAUCCCCAACAGUGGCAUGAGCAUGCUGGCAAAAUUGUUUCCAUCAGUAUAAGUAUUUUCACUCAAUUGGAUAGUUUCACUAGACUGGAACAGCAGUUCCAUUUCUUGGAGACAGCUAUGUCCAUUCUUUGGAAUACUUUAUAAUAUUUUAUCAGCAGACUGUAAGGGUACACUGACAUAAAUAUAUGCCUCCUACUACUGUUACAGUGAUAGUUGAAAAAUUAUAGUCAGACCCAUGGUAUGUAGUAAUGCCCUUGGGAACUAAGAGCCUGCGUAGUUUUCUGCAACACUUUGUCUUGGUCAUAAGGAUUGUGGGCAAUCACUGUGACACUAAGGAGCACUUUCCAGCACUUUGAUGGGAGACCACCUAGAAUUACUGGUAAAUAGGCUCAAAUAAGGGAAUUUUGUUCAAGUACAAGGUUCUGGUACCAAAUACAUUGAAAAACUUCUUUUGAUCUCUUUGACACUAAUAUAGACUAUCUUUCAACCCUGCGUAAGAACCCUGCAGCCUGGAUUUGAGGUGAGAGUCAAUAUUUGUGGUAACCUGCUAAAGGAGUUAUCAAAUUAAGGAGUUCACAGACUGCCCUAGU